This 930-nucleotide ribosomal RNA is filed under the name Cortinarius sp. PDD 72798. RNAcentral describes it as "LSU rRNA". It matches the Rfam family "Eukaryotic large subunit ribosomal RNA", at positions 37 to 953 of the family's 3401-position model. Lineage: Eukaryota; Fungi; Basidiomycota; Agaricomycetes; Agaricales; Cortinariaceae. The record is from RNAcentral.
AGCAUAUCAAUAAGCGGAGGAAAAGAAACUAACAAGGAUUCCCCUAGUAACUGCGAGUGAAGCGGGAAAAGCUCAAAUUUAAAAUCUGGCAGUCUUUGGCUGUCCGAGUUGUAAUCUAGAGAAGUGUUAUCCGCGCUGGACCGUGUACAAGUCUCCUGGAAUGGAGCGUCGUAGAGGGUGAGAAUCCCGUCUUUGACACGGACUGCCAGGGCUUUGUGAUGCGCUCUCAAAGAGUCGAGUUGUUUGGGAAUGCAGCUCAAAAUGGGUGGUAAAUUCCAUCUAAAGCUAAAUAUUGGCGAGAGACCGAUAGCGAACAAGUACCGUGAGGGAAAGAUGAAAAGAACUUUGGAAAGAGAGUUAAACAGUACGUGAAAUUGCUGAAAGGGAAACGCUUGAAGUCAGUCGCGUUGUCCAGGGAUCAACCUUGCUUUUGCCAGGUGCACUUCCUGGUUGACGGGUCAGUAUCAAUUUUGAUCAUUGGAAAAAGAUUAGGGGAAUGUGGCAUCUUUGGAUGUGUUAUAGCCCUUGGUUGCAUACAAUGGUUGGGAUUGAGGAACUCAGCACGCCGCAAGGCCGGGUUUUAUACCACGUACGUGCUUAGGAUACUGGCAAAAUGGCUUUAAUCGACCCGUCUUGAAACACGGACCAAGGAGUCUAACAUGCCUGCGAGUGUUUGGGUGGAAAACCCGAGCGCGUAAUGAAAGUGAAAGUUGAGAUCCCUGUCGUGGGGAGCAUCGACGCCCGGACCAGACCUUUUGUGACGGUUCCGCGGUAGAGCAUGUAUGUUGGGACCCGAAAGAUGGUGAACUAUGCCUGAAUAGGGUGAAGCCAGAGGAAACUCUGGUGGAGGCUCGUAGCGAUUCUGACGUGCAAAUCGAUCGUCAAAUUUGGGUAUAGGGGCGAAAGACUAAUCGAACCAUCUAGUAGCUG